This 301-nucleotide ribosomal RNA is filed under the name uncultured bacterium. RNAcentral's name for it is "partial 16S ribosomal RNA". It matches the Rfam family "Bacterial small subunit ribosomal RNA", at positions 509 to 808 of the family's 1533-position model. The record is from RNAcentral.
CAGUAGCCACGGGAAUACGAGGGGGGCAAGCGUUGUUCGGAUUUAUUGGGCGUAAAGCGAGCGCAGGCGGUUAGAUAAGUCUGAAGUUAAAGGCUGUGGCUUAACCAUAGUACGCUUUGGAAACUGGGAAACUUGAGUGCAGAAGAGGAGAGUGGAAUUCCACGUGUAGCGGUGAAAUGCGUAGAGAUGUGGAGGAACACCAGUGGCGAAGGCGACUCUCUGGUCUGUAACUGACGCUGAGGAGCGAAAGCGUGGGGAGCGAACAGGAUUAGAUACCCCCGUAGUCCCUGUCUCUUAUACA